UGAUACUGAUAGGUCUUUGUAUAUGUUUUGGUUCGGAUUUUCCUAUUUACGAGAUGUGAAAUUAUUGAGAUUUUCACCAUACCUUGAUAUAAAAGACUGUCUUAGAACUGGGAAUUUGGAAUUCUCCUUUCAGUUAGUAAUUUCUAGAAAUCUUAAUGUCAGAAUGAUGGUAAAAAAAUCAUUUUUUUUUGGAGAAUAUAGUAGAAAACAUUAGGAAAGUCAUUUUCCCUGUCAAUCUUUCGAAGAAGAAAAGGUUUAUAAAAAAUGCAAAACUUGUUUUAGGUGUUUUCAUUCUGAAUCGUUUGUUGGUGUUGAAUUUGGGUUGGAUUAUGCAGGCAUACUACGGCGGAUAUGUUCCUGGAUGACCCUAAUUCCAUUAGAAAGGUUGGUCUGAUAGGUCCUUGGAUAUGUUUUGGUUCGGAUUUUCCUAUUUCCGAGAUGUGAAAUUAUUGAUAUUUUCACCAUACCUUGAUAUAAAAGACUGUCUUAGAACUGGGAAUUUGGAAUUCUCCUUUUAGUUAGUAAUUUCUAGAAAUCUUAAUGUCGAGAAUGAUGGUAAAAAAAUCUUUUUUUUUUGGAGAAUAUAGUAGAAAACAUUAGGAAAGUCAUUUUCCUUGUCGAUCUUUCGAAGAAGAAAAAGUUCAUAAAAAAUGC
RNAcentral lists this long non-coding RNA (654 nucleotides) under Zostera marina. RNAcentral describes it as "long non-coding RNA (ZMAR_LNC000378)". Lineage: Eukaryota; Viridiplantae; Streptophyta; Magnoliopsida; Alismatales; Zosteraceae. The record is from RNAcentral.